Molecule: ribosomal RNA, 711 nt
Filed under: uncultured Alphaproteobacteria bacterium
Lineage: Bacteria; Pseudomonadati; Pseudomonadota; Alphaproteobacteria
Description: bacterial SSU rRNA
Rfam family: Bacterial small subunit ribosomal RNA
Source: RNAcentral
CAUGCAAGUCGAACGAAGUAGCAAUACUUAGUGGCAGACGGGUGAGUAACAUGUGGGUAUCUACCCUUUGGCCUGGAAUAACACGAGGAAACUUGUGCUAAUACCGGAUAAGUCUUUACAGAGAAAGCUUUAUGCACCAUUGGAUGAGCCCGCACUUGAUUAGUUUGUUGGUAGGGUAAUGGCCUACCAAGACUAUGAUCAAUAGCUGAUUUGAGAGGAUGAUCAGCCACAUUGGGACUGAGACACGGCCCAAACUCCUACGGGAGGCAGCAGUGGGGAAUCUUGCACAAUGGAGGAAACUCUGAUGCAGCGAUGCCGCGUGAGUGAAGAAGGCCCUUGGGUUGUAAAGCUCUUUCGUCGGGGAAGAAAAUGACUGUACCCGAAUAAGAAGGUCCGGCUAACUUCGUGCCAGCAGCCGCGGUAAUACGAAGGGACCUAGCGUAGUUCGGAAUUACUGGGCUUAAAGAGUUCGUAGGUGGUUGAAAAAGUUGGUGGUGAAAUCCCAGAGCUUAACUCUGGAACUGCCAUCAAAACUUUUCAGCUAGAGUAUGAUAGAGGAAAGCAGAAUUUCUAGUGUAGAGGUGAAAUUCGUAGAUAUUAGAAAGAAUACCAAUUGCGAAGGCAGCUUUCUGGAUCAUUACUGACACUGAGGAACGAAAGCAUGGGUAGCGAAGAGGAUUAGAUACCCUCGUAGUCCAUGCCGUAAACGAU